This 253-nucleotide ribosomal RNA is filed under the name uncultured bacterium. RNAcentral's name for it is "partial 16S ribosomal RNA". It matches the Rfam family "Bacterial small subunit ribosomal RNA", at positions 524 to 776 of the family's 1533-position model. The record is from RNAcentral.
GACGAACCGUGCGAACGUUGUUCGGAAUCACUGGGCGUAAAGCGCACGUAGGCGGAUCUUUAAGUCAGGGGUGAAAUCCUGGAGCUCAACUCCAGAACUGCCUUUGAUACUGAGGACCUUGAGUUCGGGAGAGGUGAGUGGAACUGCGAGUGUAGAGGUGAAAUUCGUAGAUAUUCGCAAGAACACCAGUGGCGAAGGCGGCUCACUGGCCCGAUACUGACGCUGAGGUGCGAAAGCGUGGGGAGCAAACAGG